CAUAGUUCCAAGUUGCUUUUGUAAUGGUGGGAGAGAAAGAGGGGGCUUUAAAAUGCUAGGACCAGGAAACCAGCUGCUGGAGGGGACUGAUUAAGGUGUAGCACUUUCCUCCUUCCUUCCCUAAGAUGAGGCUAGAUAACCUUAAUGGAAUCUGGACCCGACCAGACUGAGAAAAUGGAUAGAAGAAAGGAUCAAAAACCAGGACCUGACAACAUGAUGUUUACAAGAAACAAACUGAAAAUGAGAGUGAAGGUGAGGAGCUGGAGCAGAAUAUACUAUACCGCAGCUGAUCCAGAAAAGGAAAAUGAAUGUUGGAGCCAGAUAAGAAACUAUAGGCUGCUUUCAAGAAGGUUACAAGAAAACUGCAUCUUGCAUUACUAAUCCUUUAUCUUCAUGUUAACAAAAAGAUUACUGACACAUUUUUGAAUGAAAGAAAAUAAAAUAGCAAAUGCAUCUUAGAAAAUGUUUAAC
Monodelphis domestica (gray short-tailed opossum) is the source of this 471-nucleotide long non-coding RNA. Ensembl lists it as uncharacterized. Lineage: Eukaryota; Metazoa; Chordata; Mammalia; Didelphimorphia; Didelphidae. The record is from Ensembl.